RNAcentral lists this ribosomal RNA (292 nucleotides) under uncultured Planctomycetota bacterium. RNAcentral's name for it is "uncultured planctomycete partial 16S ribosomal RNA". Lineage: Bacteria; Pseudomonadati; Planctomycetota. The record is from RNAcentral.
GGACUACUGGGGUUUCUAAUCCCGUUCGCUCCCCUGGCUUUCGCGCCUCAGCGUCAGAAGAGGUCCAGCAGCUCGCUUUCGCCACCGGCGUUCCUUCCGAUAUCAACGCAUUUCACCGCUCCACCGGAAGUUCCAGCUGCCCCUACCUCGCUCAAGACAAGUAGUAUCCAAGGCUAUUUUCCGGUUAAGCCGAAAGAUUUCACCCCGGACUAUCUUGCCCGCCUACGCGCCCUUUAAGCCCAGUGAUUCCGAACAACGUUCGCACGGUUUGUCUUACCGCGGCGGCUGGCAC